Long non-coding RNA from Halichondria panicea, 611 nucleotides. RefSeq lists it as uncharacterized. The record is from RefSeq and is a predicted model, not a curated record. The transcript is spliced from 2 exons. Lineage: Eukaryota; Metazoa; Porifera; Demospongiae; Suberitida; Halichondriidae.
UAAUCAGAGUAACUAGUCCCUGGUGGACUUGACUCGGUAUGUACACUGUAAUUUCAAAACCUGUUCCAAUUUUAUGUUAUGUUCAUGUAGCUGUGGUAUAUGUGUGUGUGUGUAUAUGUGUGCAUUCUAACCUUGUCUGCCAUCCCCCUACCAGAUACCGGCUGCACUACUCCGGUCAGGUAGUGCCACUGUGUUUCUUUACACAGUUGGAUACUUGGUAUCUCAGAGUGGUCAUGAGGUGAUCUACUGAUACAGUAUGGAGGUGGUUUGUACAGGUAGUUUUGCAUGGAGCAUUUAGUUUGCGUGGAGCGUUAGUUUGCGUGGAGCAUUAGUUGAAUUUUAAGCUUGGAAUAUAAGUGAAGUAUUUUGUAUGGAGCUUGGUCCUUACAUUCAGGGUGAAGUGGCUUUUGAGGGCAUUUUGCAUGGUGUGACUAUAAUGUAUAUGGGUGUGUGUGUGUGUGACGUUGGCUUCUUACACUGAGAACUAUAGUCAUUAAUUGGACUUCUUAGUGUAAAUAAUAAUAAUUGUUGUAAAUAAUAUUGUUGUCGUGUUUUGGCAAUUUGUAAAAAUAAUUGUGUGUAUGUAUAUGACAUUUUUACAUUUUUCAUAA